This 350-nucleotide RNase P RNA is filed under the name Candidatus Woesebacteria bacterium. RNAcentral describes it as "RNase P RNA component class A". It matches the Rfam family "Bacterial RNase P class A". Rfam says of the family: Ribonuclease P (RNase P) is a ubiquitous endoribonuclease, found in archaea, bacteria and eukarya as well as chloroplasts and mitochondria. The record is from RNAcentral. Lineage: Bacteria; Candidatus Woeseibacteriota.
UGCGUAAUCCAGAUAGCGGCCCUGGGAAACUAGGGAGGAAAGUCCGGACAGCAGAGUGUAGGGUGUCCACUGAAAGGUGGAGGGGCUCAUCGCAAGAUGAGCCGACAGUCAGAGUAACAGUGACGAGCUGGGUAGCGCCAGAUGAAACGACCAAGCUAUUGGGUAUCCUCUUUUGAGCGCAAGUUCAGAACGAUGACAAUCCUCCCCGCUGCAACCGCCGAGUUUCACCGCAUUGCACACACUCGCAUCAGGAAGCAACGUUUCGGCCGAGCUUCAUGACGGUGAUAAGGUCGCGGGCAUAGAUAGAUCGCUAUCCUCGACAGAAUCUGGCUUAUCGGAUUGCGCAGCUU